Long non-coding RNA from Lampris incognitus (smalleye Pacific opah), 139 nucleotides. RefSeq lists it as uncharacterized. The record is from RefSeq and is a predicted model, not a curated record. The transcript has 3 exons. Lineage: Eukaryota; Metazoa; Chordata; Actinopteri; Lampriformes; Lampridae.
UCUGAUGGCCAACAAGUUUCAAGUCCCCGUGUGUCCUCACGCUGGAGGAGUCGGUCUGUGUGAGCUGGUUCAGCAUCUCAUACUGUUCGACUACAUCUCUGUGUCUGCAGAUCUCAGCAACCGAAUGUGUGAAUAUGUG